Long non-coding RNA from Macaca mulatta (Rhesus monkey), 4171 nucleotides. The record is from Ensembl. NCBI's taxonomy places the organism in Eukaryota, Metazoa, Chordata, Mammalia, Primates, Cercopithecidae.
GAGAAGGCGGCGCUGGGAGCCGCUCAGAGCCCAGAGAAGCGGCGCGCGGCCAGGAGCCCCCGCUCCGCCACUGCCGUGCCUGCCUCCCGCAGCUGUCUGCCAUGCGCUCGCCGGGGCAGGGGCGCCCGGAGAGCGGCGGGAGCUGGGCCUGAGCCCGGGAACGCGCCUGAUCGGGGCGGAGGAGCCGCUGUCCCCACAGCCGCCCCACCCGCGCCGCUGCCUCGCUGGGGCCCGGGCCCCCUUCCUGGUCCGAAACCCCAGAGAGAUUGGUGAUGGUGAUUUCCCAGGAAGACGUGGUGUGCUCCAACUUCUGUGACAGUGAGCAACGGGACCAAUGGAUGUCCGGAUGCUGGCAAUGAGACAUGCUCUGGAGUCAGAAGACAGCAAAAAGAGAAGCAGAAGUCCCGGUGGCAAGAGUCCAAAGCAGGAAGGAAUCACUGUAACCUGUGGAUUGUACUGCAGUAGGAAACUAUCCUAGCAAGGCUCCACUUUGCCCCAGCUUCAAGCUGGAAAGGAGGAGAACAUGAAACGUUGCUUGAAGACAAUGGCCGAGACAGCAGGUCCCACCCUGCACAGCCGCCAACAUCUCUUCCCUCAGCCUUGUCUCUUCUUCUGCAGUUGGGAUCUGCACAUUUAAGCCUGAAGUGUUGUGGGAUGUACCUUGCACUGAGGCCAGGCAGCUGACCAGAGCCACCCACAAGGAGCCUCUGGAAUUAACCUCAGAUUGUCCUGUGAAGUGAAGUAUGAUCGGACAGCCUCUUUUCAGCUUUUAUGAAAAUGGAGACAGAGGAAUUGUGGCUCUUGCCAAGGUCACAGGAUUGGAACACAGAGCCAAGCCACCCCAGGACAUGCAAGAGCCUCAGAAGGGAAAAAGCCCAGCAGGAAGGGAGAACAAGUAGCCUCUGUUCUGAGGUUGUAACAGCCAGGGACCAGGAUGGAGGAGGAGGACUCCGUAAUCCUGCCCAUCUGGGACUUGGCAGGGGACCUGGGAAAAUGUACCCCAAUCCAUCCCUCAAGGGCCUUUGCCUUUGGCCCAUUGGCCUAGCAUCUCCUUCUUCACUAUGUCUGUUCUUGUCAGAUCUGUUUGGGUCUGAGGUGCAUGGAACAUUCUGGGUAGGCCUCCAGCAAACGGAAGCUCUUCACCGUGUUUCCAGCCUAGGACCAAGAGCAGCACACUGGCAAAGUUGCCAAAGCAAGGGACUCCAGCCUGCUAGGAGUUAACGACUCCCUCUCCCCAGCUGUCCUCCCCUUGGUGCUCCUCUUCCUCCCUCCUCCUGCUCACAGCAGGCAGGGCCUGGACCCGGGAGCCAUGCUGCUGUGCUGUUGCCAGGGGAGUCCGGAGGCAGAUCUGAGCUAUGCAGGGAAAAGGCCCGGCCUGUCAAAGUGUCUGAGAUGAACCGCCGCCGUCCCUGUGCAGCUGGGCUCAGACGUGUCUCAGCUCUUGUUCUGUGCCUGAGAAUGGCGAAACCCAGUGAGGUUCAAGGGCAAACUCGCUAUUCAUUAGUCAGGGGUUCUUGACGUCCCGUCUCUCCCAGGGAUGGGUUCCCCCCCUUCCUCUUUCUCCCCCUCCUAUGACACAUUCCUGGGUGCCUUUGGUGAGGACUGCACACCCUCCUCCUGCCUAGCCCCCUUUCCAAGGGCCUCUGAAUAAACUCCCCCCAAGGAGACCAGGCAGGGUAGAGACAAUGGCUGCAGGAAAUCAUUCAGGCGGGACAUGCUGGCCUGCCCUCCACCCAGUCCCCCUGUGGGCCCCACUCCCUUCUGAUUCAGGGCACCCUUGGGCCCCUAGCCUAUACAGGCCUGGAUAGGAAGAAGCCACUAGGAACAACCCUGAGGACAUCAUGUUAGUCCAGUGCCAUUCUCCGCUGGCUCUGUGGGUGCCUUUGUGGCCUGCACCAACUGGCAGGCUAAUUUUGUGGUUUCUGUACCAUCACAUGCCUAUUUCAAGACACUCUCAAGCACUGUCAGUUGGGGAGUGUAAAUUCUACAAUAUUUUCUGAAAUGUGGCAAUAUCAAAAUGUAAAAGGCAAAUAUACUUGGUCACAAAAAUGGCACUGUUUACUCUGUGGGCAUAUUUGUAAAAGUUCCCAAAGAAUUACAUACAAGGAUGUUCAUCAGAGCAUUUCUUUUGAAGAGUGUAAAGAAAUGGACAUGAACCUAUGGUCUGUUCAUACUGUGGAAUACCUAUGCAGCUGUAAAAAUCAGUGUGGUAGAUCUCCGUAUAUGAGUUGAUGUGGAAGGUUGGCCAGUUCACAUGAUAAGGUGAAUAGAAUAAGUUACAGAACAGGCUGUGGAGUAUGAUCUUAUUUGUAGAUGUUUAAAAGUGAGUCAUAAGUAUGCUUAUAUACGGAAGUAUGUACUGGAAGGCUACCUCUAGGGAGUGGGCAUGGGGGAAUGCACUCUUCUAUACUGUUCUGUUUUCUUUUCGUGCUCCUAAGAUACUUUUAUUGAAAGAUGUAAAGGGUUGUUCAGUAUAAUAGGCUUAACUUCUAUCAACUAACUUGGCGUGGGUGCUUUAAGAGGGUGGUAGUGAUGUUACUGGAGAAAGUAUCCCACAAUUACUGGUGGCUUCAGCCAUGGGCCAUUUUGGGGCCUAAUAAUCACAUAUCAUCAUGGUUGCUAGUGUUAAUCGAAAACCUACUAAGUGCCAGGCUUACUGUCUCUGGGUCUUGCUUACGUGGGUAUCAUUAUUCCAGUUUCACCAAAUCAAAAGAAGUUAAUUGGUUUGUUGCAGCUCCUCUGCAGGUGAGGGGCAGAGCCAGGAGCUUGGCUAGGGACAGGGGAGGUGGGUGGGGGAUGGUGGCUAGAUCUUGGCUCUCAGUUUCUUUCCAUGCAGACAUUGCCCCUCUGCCCUGAGGACCUGCUUGUUUGGGGGAGGAGGCCUUUGGAGGCACCGGGGUCAUGCCAGGUGUUGGACAUGGUGAACUGGGAAGUGUUCCCAUUUGGCCAUAGCCCAAAAGUAUCACCGUGCUGGGGGGUGGGGAACAGGGCUGUGAAUGGGCCUAUUUGCAUAAGCAGCAUGUGUGGAGAGAAAGACAUCGCAGAGCAGAAGAGGUGUGGGUGCCCAGUAGGGCAAUUGCCACCCCUACUUCAUCCCUGAAAGAGUAAAUGGCCUGGAAAGUGUCUCCAAGAGGUAAUGCUGCACACUACCCUCCCUGGUGGCACUGGGUCAGGUUACACCUGCCUUAGGUCGGUGGCUGCAGCAGCCUGCAGAGCUCUCAGUAGUGCCUCAGUAGCCUGGGAGGGAGUAGGGGCAGGGGGCAGGAAGAGGCAUAAUGGGGCUGUCCAGAGGGGUCUGGGAAACCUGGUCCCUGAGGCCUGGGCACAGCUACAGUCACUUCAGAUUGGCUGUGGGGCCAGUGGACUGGGAAGGAAAAAAGCAUUAAGAGUGACCAAGUGCAGAAGGCUGUCAGGUCCCAGGUCACAUGCCUUAGUGCAGUGACUCCUCAUCAUUUUGUGGUGUGUGGGUGUCAUUGGUACACCCAUUUUGCAGAUGAGGACACUGAGGCCCAGAAAAGUUAAGUUACAUGUCCUAAGUCACACAGCUUGUAAGUGCCAGAACUGAGAUCAAAACCAAGUCUCUUUGACUUUGAAGUCUGUACUUUGACUCCAAAGACAUCCUGUUUCGUUUGGCCACUUAUAGGAGGUCCCUAAAGCUGCAGACUCCCCUUGCCAGUGCCCACAUAUAGAGACAUUAACCCCUGCCCUGCAGGGUCACCUCAAAUAAUCUUUUAGCUGGGCUUCUCCCACAGUUCCACCUAAUGCCAUCCCCUGGGUUUUGCCCAAACCUGGACUGGGCAGCGGGGUGAGAGGAGGGGUUUACAGGGUUACAGAGCCUCAUACAGAUUGGAGCCCAUGGCUGCUGGUCAUCUGUAUCCCUGCAGGAUUGGCUGUUCCUUGGGGUCCUUGGCAGGAAGAUGAGGAUGCUCCCGAGACCUGCUCCAGUGCUUGCCAGAGGCUGGCCUGGUGGCCUCUGGAAAGACUGAGGCUGGAGAGGCAGAAGUAGGAGAGCAGCAAUGGCACUCAGGUAGCUUGAAUCACCAGGACCCUUCCAAGCCCCACAGGUCCUCCUGAGGGAGUACUAGGGCAUCCUCUGGGAGAGGUCUCUUCCUAUGCUGUGAACCCCCUGCCUUUCUUGCAACCUACAAUGAAUAAAUUUUCUUUGCAAAGC